Biomphalaria glabrata is the source of this 1424-nucleotide long non-coding RNA. RefSeq lists it as uncharacterized. NCBI's taxonomy places the organism in Eukaryota, Metazoa, Mollusca, Gastropoda, Planorbidae. The transcript is spliced from 5 exons. The record is from RefSeq and is a predicted model, not a curated record.
AAUAAAUUAUCUUUUUUCUCUAAAUCUAGAUUAUCAGUUCAAAAUCUUCUACUCGACGUCUAUAUCUAUAAAUCCUUUAUAACUAGUUCAGUCCUAGUCUAAAAACCAAUGUUACGACUCAAUUCAAUAAUUCAUGUUGAUGGGUCUAGACUGAAUCGAUUUAAGAUAAUUUUUCUUAUCGUAAUUACUAAUUUUAUUAGAUUUAUUUAAAUAGAACUAAUAAUUUAAAAUUUAGAUAGAUCUAUCUAGACUAGUUACUAGAUCUAUAGAAAUUCUCAAUCAAGAUUAUCUAAAUCUAUAUAGAUCAAGAAGAAGAACAGUUUAAAGAAAAUAAUACCAGUGUUAUGCUCCUUUCACCAUUGAGUUCCAGGAUGAAGAAUGAAAGACAGAGAGCAAUGUGAAGACAUCAAAGAAUGUGCAGGUCUGCCAUGAAAUGGUUUAUCCAGGGCUAAGUAAAGAGAGGAAUAUAGAAGGGCUGUUGACUGAUCUUGUGUGGUGCCCCCAUGGCUCAACAGACUGAUUGAUAGAAAAUAAUACCAGGGUUAUGUUCCUUUCACUGUUGAGUUCCUGGAUGAAGAAUGAAAGACAGAGAGCAAUGUGAAGACAUCAAAGAAUGUGCAGGUCUGCCAUGAAAUGGUUUAUCCAGGGCUAAGUACAGAGAGGAAUAUAGAAGGGCUGUUGACAGAUCUUGUGUGGUGCCCCCAUGGUUCAAAAGACUGAUUGAUAAGUAAUGAAAAUAAUACCAGGGUAAUGGUCCUUUCACUGUUGAGUUCCAGGAUGAAGAAUGAGAAAGACAGUGAGCAAUGUGAAGACAUCAAAGAAUGUGCAGGUCUAUUAUGAAAUGGUUUAUCCAGGGCUAAGUACAGAGAGGAAUAUAGAAGGGCUGUUGACAGAUCUUGUGUGGUGCCCCCAUGGUUCAACAGACUGAUUGAUAGGUAAUGGUAAGAAUUUAAUGUAUUUUGAAAAGAAAAUUUAAAAAAUUGGUGUUAAUUACAUUAAGGGACUUAAUCACUCUUUUUUUAUUUCCAGAAAAUGAUACCAGGGUCAUGCUCCUUUCACCGUUGAGUUCCAGGAUGAAGAAUGAAAGACAGAGAGCAAUGUGAAGACAUCAAAGAAUGUGCAGGUCUGCCAUGAAAUGGUUUAUCCAGGGCUAAGUACAGAGAGGAAUAUAGAAGGGCUGCUGACAGAUCUUGUGUGGUGCCCCCAUGGUUCAACAGACUGAUUGAUAGAAAAUAAUACCAGGGUUAUGGUCCUUUCACUGUUGAUUUCCAGGAUGAAGAAUGAAAAACAGAGAGCAAUGUGAAGACAUCAAAAAAAUGUGCAGGUCUGCCAGGAAAUGGUUUAUCCAGGGCUAAGUACAGAGAGGAAUAUAGAAGGGCUGAUGACAGAUCUUGUGUGGUGCCCCUAUGGUUCAACAAACUGAU